CAGCAGCCGCGGGAAUACGUAGGGUGUGAGCGUUAAUCGGAAUUACUGGGCGUAAAGCGUGCGCAGGCGGUUGUGUAAGACAGGUGUGAAAUCCCCGGGCUCAACCUGGGAAUGGCAAUGGAUACUGGCAAGCUAGAGUGUGUCAGAGGAUGGUGGAAUUCCCGGUGUAGCGGUGAAAUGCGUAGAGAUCGGGAGGAACAUCAGUGGCGAAGGCGGCCAUCUGGGACAACACUGACGCUGAGGCACGAAAGCGUGGGGAGCAAACAGGAUUAGAUACCCGCGUAGUCCCUGUCUCUUAUAC
This 301-nucleotide ribosomal RNA is filed under the name uncultured bacterium. Its description in RNAcentral is "partial 16S ribosomal RNA". It matches the Rfam family "Bacterial small subunit ribosomal RNA", at positions 509 to 807 of the family's 1533-position model. The record is from RNAcentral.